Molecule: long non-coding RNA, 208 nt
Filed under: Salvia miltiorrhiza (redroot sage)
Lineage: Eukaryota; Viridiplantae; Streptophyta; Magnoliopsida; Lamiales; Lamiaceae
Description: long non-coding RNA (SMIL_LNC008874)
Source: RNAcentral
CCCCUCAAUCAUGAAGAGGAACCCAUGAAAGAUUUUAGUAGAAUGAAUUUAGAAGUGGUUCAACCACUAGAAUAUGUAGAAGGGAUUAUUGCCACGAUGGUAAUAACACCCAACUUUAUAGGAAAGCUGUUAAUAGUACCAAAAAAAAAAAAAAAAAAAAAAAAAAAAAAAGGGAAAUGAGACCUUAGAGAAAAUACGUUUAGCAAUA